UAGGGAAUAUUGGACAAUGGGGGCAACCCUGAUCCAGCCAUGCCGCGUGAGUGAAGAAGGCCCUCGGGUUGUAAAGCUCUUUUGUCCGGAAAGAAAAGCUUCGGGUUAAUACCCCGGGGUUCUGACGGUACCGGAAGAAUAAGCACCGGCUAACUUCGUGCCAGCAGCCGCGGUAAUACGAAGGGUGCAAGCGUUACUCGGAAUUACUGGGCGUAAAGCGUGCGUAGGUGGUUGUUUAAGUCUGAUGUGAAAGCCCUGGGCUCAACCUGGGAAUGGCAUAUGAAACUGGGCAGCUAGGGUGGCGUAGAGGGUAGUGGAAUUCCCGGUGUAGCAGUGAAAUGCGUAGAGAUCGGGAGGAACAUCUGUGGCGAAGGCGACUGCCUGGACCAGCACUGACACUGAGGCACGAAAGCGUGGGGAGCAAACA
Molecule: ribosomal RNA, 427 nt
Filed under: uncultured bacterium
Lineage: Bacteria
Description: bacterial SSU rRNA
Rfam family: Bacterial small subunit ribosomal RNA
Source: RNAcentral